CAAGCAGUGGCGGCGUGCUAUACAUGCAGUCGAACGAGUUCUGAUUAUUGAAAGGUGCUUGCAUCUUGAUUUAAUUUUGAACGAGUGGCGGACGGGUGAGUAACACGUGGGUAACCUGCCCUUAAGUGGGGGAUAACAUUUGGAAACAGAUGCUAAUACCGCAUAAAUCCAAGAACCGCAUGGUUCUUGGCUGAAAGAUGGCGUAAGCUAUCGCUUUUGGAUGGACCCGCGGCGUAUUAGCUAGUUGGUGAGGUAACGGCUCACCAAGGCAAUGAUACGUAGCCGAACUGAGAGGUUGAUCGGCCACAUUGGGACUGAGACACGGCCCAAACUCCUACGGGAGGCAGCAGUAGGGAAUCUUCCACAAUGGACGCAAGUCUGAUGGAGCAACGCCGCGUGAGUGAAGAAGGCUUUCGGGUCGUAAAACUCUGUUGUUGGAGAAGAAUGGUCGGCAGAGUAACUGUUGUCGGCGUGACGGUAUCCAACCAGAAAGCCACGGCUAACUACGUGCCAGCAGCCGCGGUAAUACGUAGGUGGCAAGCGUUAUCCGGAUUUAUUGGGCGUAAAGCGAGCGCAGGCGGUUUUUUAAGUCUGAUGUGAAAGCCCUCGGCUUAACCGAGGAAGUGCAUCGGAAACUGGGAAACUUGAGUGCAGAAGAGGACAGUGGAACUCCAUGUGUAGCGGUGAAAUGCGUAGAUAUAUGGAAGAACACCAGUGGCGAAGGCGGCUGUCUGGUCUGUAACUGACGCUGAGGCUCGAAAGCAUGGGUAGCGAACAGGAUUAGAUACCCUGGUAGUCCAUGCCGUAAACGAUGAAUGCUAGGUGUUGGAGGGUUUCCGCCCUUCAGUGCCGCAGCUAACGCAUUAAGCAUUCCGCCUGGGGAGUACGACCGCAAGGUUGAAACUCAAAGGAAUUGACGGGGGCCCGCACAAGCGGUGGAGCAUGUGGUUUAAUUCGAAGCAACGCGAAGAACCUUACCAGGUCUUGACAUCUUUUGAUCACCUGAGAGAUCAGGUUUCCCCUUCGGGGGCAAAAUGACAGGUGGUGCAUGGUUGUCGUCAGCUCGUGUCGUGAGAUGUUGGGUUAAGUCCCGCAACGAGCGCAACCCUUAUGACUAGUUGCCAGCAUUUAGUUGGGCACUCUAGUAAGACUGCCGGUGACAAACCGGAGGAAGGUGGGGAUGACGUCAAAUCAUCAUGCCCCUUAUGACCUGGGCUACACACGUGCUACAAUGGAUGGUACAACGAGUUGCGAGACCGCGAGGUCAAGCUAAUCUCUUAAAGCCAUUCUCAGUUCGGACUGUAGGCUGCAACUCGCCUACACGAAGUCGGAAUCGCUAGUAAUCGCGGAUCAGCACGCCGCGGUGAAUACGUUCCCGGGCCUUGUACACACCGCCCGUCACACCAUGAGAGUUUGUAACACCCGAAGCCGGUGGCGUAACCCUUUUAGGGAGCGAGCCGUCUAAGGUGACAAAGAAAGGUG
Molecule: ribosomal RNA, 1482 nt
Filed under: Lacticaseibacillus rhamnosus
Lineage: Bacteria; Bacillati; Bacillota; Bacilli; Lactobacillales; Lactobacillaceae
Description: bacterial SSU rRNA
Rfam family: Bacterial small subunit ribosomal RNA
Source: RNAcentral